RNAcentral lists this ribosomal RNA (203 nucleotides) under uncultured bacterium. RNAcentral describes it as "partial 16S ribosomal RNA". It matches the Rfam family "Bacterial small subunit ribosomal RNA", at positions 568 to 773 of the family's 1533-position model. The record is from RNAcentral.
UGCGUAGGCGGCUUUGCAAGUCAGAUGUGAAAUCUAUGGGCUCAACCCAUAAACUGCAUUUGAAACUGUAGAGCUUGAGUGAAGUAGAGGCAGGCGGAAUUCCCCGUGUAGCGGUGAAAUGCGUAGAGAUGGGGAGGAACACCAGUGGCGAAGGCGGCCUGCUGGGCUUUAACUGACGCUGAGGCAAGACGUGGGUAGCAAAC